This 1345-nucleotide ribosomal RNA is filed under the name Lactiplantibacillus plantarum. Its description in RNAcentral is "bacterial SSU rRNA". It matches the Rfam family "Bacterial small subunit ribosomal RNA", at positions 67 to 1397 of the family's 1533-position model. The record is from RNAcentral. Lineage: Bacteria; Bacillati; Bacillota; Bacilli; Lactobacillales; Lactobacillaceae.
CUGCUUGCAUCAUGAUUUACAUUUGAGUGAGUGGCGAACUGGUGAGUAACACGUGGGAAACCUGCCCAGAAGCGGGGGAUAACACCUGGAAACAGAUGCUAAUACCGCAUAACAACUUGGACCGCAUGGUCCGAGCUUGAAAGAUGGCUUCGGCUAUCACUUUUGGAUGGUCCCGCGGCGUAUUAGCUAGAUGGUGGGGUAAUGGCUCACCAUGGCAAUGAUACGUAGCCGACCUGAGAGGGUAAUCGGCCACAUUGGGACUGAGACACGGCCCAAACUCCUACGGGAGGCAGCAGUAGGGAAUCUUCCACAAUGGACGAAAGUCUGAUGGAGCAACGCCGCGUGAGUGAAGAAGGGUUUCGGCUCGUAAAACUCUGUUGUUAAAGAAGAACAUAUCUGAGAGUAACUGUUCAGGUAUUGACGGUAUUUAACCAGAAAGCCACGGCUAACUACGUGCCAGCAGCCGCGGUAAUACGUAGGUGGCAAGCGUUGUCCGGAUUUAUUGGGCGUAAAGCGAGCGCAGGCGGUUUUUUAAGUCUGAUGUGAAAGCCUUCGGCUCAACCGAAGAAGUGCAUCGGAAACUGGGAAACUUGAGUGCAGAAGAGGACAGUGGAACUCCAUGUGUAGCGGUGAAAUGCGUAGAUAUAUGGAAGAACACCAGUGGCGAAGGCGGCUGUCUGGUCUGUAACUGACGCUGAGGCUCGAAAGUAUGGGUAGCAAACAGGAUUAGAUACCCUGGUAGUCCAUACCGUAAACGAUGAAUGCUAAGUGUUGGAGGGUUUCCGCCCUUCAGUGCUGCAGCUAACGCAUUAAGCAUUCCGCCUGGGGAGUACGGCCGCAAGGCUGAAACUCAAAGGAAUUGACGGGGGCCCGCACAAGCGGUGGAGCAUGUGGUUUAAUUCGAAGCUACGCGAAGAACCUUACCAGGUCUUGACAUACUAUGCAAAUCUAAGAGAUUAGACGUUCCCUUCGGGGACAUGGAUACAGGUGGUGCAUGGUUGUCGUCAGCUCGUGUCGUGAGAUGUUGGGUUAAGUCCCGCAACGAGCGCAACCCUUAUUAUCAGUUGCCAGCAUUAAGUUGGGCACUCUGGUGAGACUGCCGGUGACAAACCGGAGGAAGGUGGGGAUGACGUCAAAUCAUCAUGCCCCUUAUGACCUGGGCUACACACGUGCUACAAUGGAUGGUACAACGAGUUGCGAACUCGCGAGAGUAAGCUAAUCUCUUAAAGCCAUUCUCAGUUCGGAUUGUAGGCUGCAACUCGCCUACAUGAAGUCGGAAUCGCUAGUAAUCGCGGAUCAGCAUGCCGCGGUGAAUACGUUCCCGGGCCUUGUACACACCGCCCGA